Molecule: transfer RNA, 63 nt
Filed under: Acaciothrips ebneri
Lineage: Eukaryota; Metazoa; Arthropoda; Insecta; Thysanoptera; Phlaeothripidae
Description: tRNA-Cys
Source: RNAcentral
AUUAUAAUAUUUUAUAUAAAAUAUUGUUUUGCAAAAACAAAGAUAACUUUAUGUUUUAUAAUU